Molecule: ribosomal RNA, 532 nt
Filed under: Pseudomonas aeruginosa
Lineage: Bacteria; Pseudomonadati; Pseudomonadota; Gammaproteobacteria; Pseudomonadales; Pseudomonadaceae
Description: partial 23S ribosomal RNA
Rfam family: Bacterial large subunit ribosomal RNA
Source: RNAcentral
AAGUGACGCGGUAGAGGAGCGUUCUGUAAGCCUGUGAAGGUGAGUUGAGAAGCUUGCUGGAGGUAUCAGAAGUGCGAAUGCUGACAUGAGUAACGACAAUGGGUGUGAAAAACACCCACGCCGAAAGACCAAGGGUUCCUGCGCAACGUUAAUCGACGCAGGGUUAGUCGGUUCCUAAGGCGAGGCUGAAAAGCGUAGUCGAUGGGAAACAGGUUAAUAUUCCUGUACUUCUGGUUACUGCGAUGGAGGGACGGAGAAGGCUAGGCCAGCUUGGCGUUGGUUGUCCAAGUUUAAGGUGGUAGGCUGAAAUCUUAGGUAAAUCCGGGGUUUCAAGGCCGAGAGCUGAUGACGAGUCGUCUUUUAGAUGACGAAGUGGUUGAUGCCAUGCUUCCAAGAAAAGCUUCUAAGCUUCAGGUAACCAGGAACCGUACCCCAAACCGACACAGGUGGUCGGGUAGAGAAUACCAAGGCGCUUGAGAGAACUCGGGUGAAGGAACUAGGCAAAAUGGCACCGUAACUUCGGGAGAAGGUG